This 72-nucleotide transfer RNA is filed under the name Actinomycetes bacterium. RNAcentral describes it as "Actinobacteria bacterium tRNA-Gly". It matches the Rfam family "tRNA". From Rfam's summary of the family: Transfer RNA (tRNA) molecules are approximately 80 nucleotides in length. Lineage: Bacteria; Bacillati; Actinomycetota; Actinomycetes. The record is from RNAcentral.
GCGGACGUAGCUCAGCUGGUAGAGCGUCGGCUUCCCAAGCCGAACGGAACCAACGGGCUAGAUUCCGCAACA